This 29-nucleotide non-coding RNA is filed under the name Mus musculus (house mouse). Lineage: Eukaryota; Metazoa; Chordata; Mammalia; Rodentia; Muridae. The record is from RNAcentral.
UAGUCCUGCCUUUAGAUGUUACUUAACUU